RNAcentral lists this unclassified non-coding RNA (200 nucleotides) under soil metagenome. Its description in RNAcentral is "partial contains internal transcribed spacer 2 and large subunit ribosomal RNA". The record is from RNAcentral.
UGAAGACUCACCCCUUCAGGUUUUUCCUGAAGUGUUGGUGGAUUUGGGUGUUUGCCACUUACCCUGGCUCGCCUUAAAAGCAUUAGUGGUUACACAGGACGUGAUACGUUCUCGGCCUUAGACCGCUUACAACCCCAGUUCUUAGGAACACUUUUUGACAAUCUGACCUCAAAUCAGGUAGGGCUACCCGCUGAACUUAA